UACGGAGGGUGCAAGCGUUGUUCGGAAUUAUUGGGCGUAAAGAGCGUGUAGGCGGCAUGAUAAGUCAGGUGUGAAAGCCCUGGGCUUAACCCAGGAAGGGCACUUGAAACUGUCAUGCUUGAGUAAGGAAGGGGGAAGUGGAAUUCCUGGUGUAGAGGUGAAAUUCGUAGAUAUCAGGAGGAACACCGGUGGCGAAGGCGACUUCCUGGUCCUAUACUGACGCUGAGACGCGAGAGCGUGGGGAGCAAACAGG
This 253-nucleotide ribosomal RNA is filed under the name uncultured bacterium. Its description in RNAcentral is "partial 16S ribosomal RNA". It matches the Rfam family "Bacterial small subunit ribosomal RNA", at positions 524 to 776 of the family's 1533-position model. The record is from RNAcentral.